Molecule: ribosomal RNA, 492 nt
Filed under: uncultured bacterium
Lineage: Bacteria
Description: partial 16S ribosomal RNA
Rfam family: Bacterial small subunit ribosomal RNA
Source: RNAcentral
AGUGAACGCUGGCGGUAGGCCUAACACAUGCAAGUCGAACGGCAGCACAGUAAGAGCUUGCUCUUACGGGUGGCGAGUGGCGGACGGGUGAGGAAUACAUCGGAAUCUACUUUUUCGUGGGGGAUAACGUAGGGAAACUUACGCUAAUACCGCAUACGACCUACGGGUGAAAGCAGGGGAUCUUCGGACCUUGCGCGAUUGAAUGAGCCGAUGUCGGAUUAGCUAGUUGGCGGGGUAAAGGCCCACCAAGGCGACGAUCCGUAGCUGGUCUGAGAGGAUGAUCAGCAACACUGGAACUGAGACACGGCCCAGACUCCUACGGGAGGCAGCAGUGGGGAAUAUUGGACAAUGGGCGCAAGCCUGAUCCAGCCAUACCGCGUGGGUGAAGAAGGCCUUCGGGUUGUAAAGCCCUUUUGUUGGGAAAGAAAAGCAGCAGGUUAAUACCCCGCUGUUCUGACGGUACCCAAAGAAUAAGCACCGGCUAACUUCGUG